AACAUACAAAUACUAUCAAAAUGUACUAGCAUUUUUGACAAAUUCAAGCAUGAUGAAUUAAUGAUAACAUGUGAUUUUGGGUAUUGGCCAAAUGUUCUUUAUAGACUUAUAUUGCAUCCGUAAAACACAACUAUUGAGAGAUAGAGGAAGUUCCUGUUUUGUAUAUAUGUGCAUGUUUAUCUAUAAUAGUGUAGCUUACAUCCUAUGAUUUUUCCAUUUGUUGAUCAAUAUGUCGGUUGCCAAUGGGGUUGGUGGCCUAUUGGUAAGAUCUUUGACCUAGGGGGAUCCACCUGGGUUCGAGCCACACUUCUCACAUUUAUGAAGGUAUUAAUAGAGAUUUUUCGAGAGUCCUGGGUUUCAUCCUAAGCAUGCGUGUAAUUUAGGAGUAGGAGUAGAUUAGAAUGUGUUCUAAAAAAAAAUAUGUCGGUUGCCAUAAGAACUAAAAUAACUAUAUCUCUACAUAAAUGGAAAACUAUUGCUCAAAAUUUCAUGGUUUCACCUUGUAAUAUUAUAGAGCUUUCCUUUUAAAUCACUAGUCGUGCAUGCGAGGCUGUAUCUAUGGAUCAUGUUUUCAGCAAGGAUGCAGAUGAUGUUAGAAUGUUGAUGAAAAAAGCUAAUAACAAUGAUUUGUCCAUAAGACAUACAUUGGGGAAGGGUGAAAACAAUAUCAUGUCUGUUGGUGGAUUUGAUGAUUGUUUAAACAUUAAUUCCUCGGGAAGGCUUGUAUGCAAUUAUGACUUUUUGAUGAGACAGCUUUCAUUUCAAAGAUUAGAAAAAAAUGGUCUAUGUGCAUCUACCAGCAAUCUAUUAUUUAGUGGUGUAAAAGUAAUUACUCCUGGUCCCAGAUUCCCAGUGAUGCUACUUCAUAGAGAAAGGAACAAAAAUUGGCUAAAAAGGUUCCUCCAAACAAUUUUCCUGCAAUUGUUAGUAGUUUGCUAUCAACUGUAGGAGCUUUGCGAUGUCAUUAAGGGUGCUUCCUACCUCUGUUGCUGUCGAUCAUGUACCUUUUCAAAGGUGGGCUCGUUGCAUAAGGUCUUUUACUAAUGGAAGGCAUUUUGAAACCAUUUGCCCACCUAAUAAUUGGUUACUUGACAAUUUAAGGCAAUUAAUGCUUAUGAGUUUGAGCGCCAUGCUGGCUGCAAUUCGGCAAAACAAAGCACCCAAAUAAUCAUAUUUACUUCAACAAUGGUAAAUUGGCAAGACAAUUUAUGGUGUUGUGCAAGAGCUGAGAAACACUGCUUAGAAUGUGUUGUUUGAAGUUAUUCAGACGAUAACUGGAUCACCAAUCAACCACAGAUCUUUUCAGCUUUGGAAAGAUUCAUUCCUUGCUGCUACUCGCGAGCUUCAGUGGAUAUAUGGGAGGGAAGAAGGAAAAAUUAUGUCAUAAAUAGUUGGCUUUAUCAAGGUGAAAAAUAACAAGAAGAAUUAGCGACUUGGCCUACUUUAAACAUUGUACACAGGUCAAGGUUUUGCAAUAUGACUGAUGGCAAGUUUCUUUUUUGUUAUACACUAUAAAUUAUUUUAGGUAAUUAAGAUGUGAUUUAAAUCGAAACCUAGCUUGGCCUUAUUAUAUACUGUAGGCACUCGAAAGCAUAUUGAGGAAGUAUAAUCUAUAGUAAGCAAUUGCCAUUUAUGCUUUCCUCAUAAGCAAUGCACCAUUAAAAGCUUUAACUUGAAUUGAGAAUCCACUUUUAUUUUGGCUGGUGUAUUUGUAUCAUAGAUCAUUCACUAGUAAAAACAGUAUAUGAUGUGAGUA
Erigeron canadensis is the source of this 1756-nucleotide RNA transcript. RefSeq lists it as uncharacterized. NCBI's taxonomy places the organism in Eukaryota, Viridiplantae, Streptophyta, Magnoliopsida, Asterales, Asteraceae. The record is from RefSeq and is a predicted model, not a curated record. The transcript is spliced from 4 exons.